CAUUUAUGGUCAAAAUGCGCGCAUGGAUCAGGUCAUUGGGCAGAGCCCAAACGGAGCCAUUUGAUUUGUUUUUUUUAAACCAAAAAAAAAAAAAGUUAAAACCUUAUUUCGUUUCUGCUUAAAAACAAGGAUUUUCCCCUUUUAAACUCCCCCCUUUCCUCUUGCUCUUCUUCUACAGGUCAAAGAGAAGCAGUUCGACCGCCACUUUUGAGCCAAAUUUCGACCACUCUCCAGCGCUGCGAUUGUGGGUUUAGGUAAAGUCUUUCUCUUUUCCCUUUUUUUAUUUUCGUUUGUAUGGAAAAAAAAAGAAUAAAAAGAAACAACAAAAAAAAGAAUGAAAUGAAGCAAUAGAAAAUCAAAAUGAAAAAAUCACCUUCAAAAAUUUUAGAUCUGAUGUUUUUCUUUUCCUCUGUAUUUUUGCUCUUGUAUACGUAAUAUCCCCUAAAAACAAAUGAAUAUUCGUAGCUUUUAUAGCCCGAAAGUACAAUAGUUACUUGCUAUUUCUUUGCUCACGUCGCAGGUCACGAAAACGUGGAGGAGGAACGGGCGUGGGGCGUGCUCCAAGCGAGCUGGGGUGGACGUCCGAGGUGGAGUGCGUUGUGACUGCCGGUGGCUGUGUUCGUGCGGCGCAUGGAGUAGCCUAGGGUUCUUUUCUGAUUUGGGCUAUUGUAGAGUUUUGGGCUUUAGAAUUUGGGACAAAGUUAUUUGGGUUGUUUUAUGCAAUUGGGCUGGCUUUAUAUUUUUGGGUUUAUUAUUUGUUUUUUAUUUUGUUUUGUAUGUGUAUGGGCUGUAAUUGGGUAUUUGGGCUGGAAUUAGGUUGCCCGGGCUAAAAUUAGGUCCUACAUAAAUAAUGAAACGAAUAAAAUAGAAUUAAGGAUUGAAAUGAAAUGCGCAAAAGGGAUGGGGGUUAAUUGGGAAAAUAUCCCAAAUCCAAUUAGACGCAUUGUUUUCUUGACAAACCAAGGGACUAAAUUAUACAUAAAAUAAAAUAAGUGGGGUAAAUUAAAAUUAAAAUCAAGCAAUAAGGCGAAAUUGAAUAGUGAUGAAAAUGCAGAGAGAUCAAAACAGUAAUUAGCCCAUUUAUUUUAAAAAACACGUGGAUCCUGCUGGCAGGUCGAGUCAGUGCGCGGAUCUUGGGGUGAAAUGACGUCGUUUUAGGGCCAUUGUGGCCAACCCUAAAUGACGCUGUUUAAAGGGGCCUAUAUAAGUCAAUUUUUUUUAAAUUCAUUCUAUUCCGGCUUUUUUAAAAAAAACUUUCUUAAACUCUCUGCCCCUCUCCAAAGGUCCAGCCAUUGACCACCGUGUCAGCAGUUGGUCACUGGCGACGGCACCAGCAUCCACGAUGGCCGAAAAAAUAACCUAAAUCCCUUUUUUUUAAUCACUUUUUCACACUUUUAUUCUAGAUUUCGAAUUUAAAGGCGAAAGCCUAAAAAGAAGAAAAAAUUUAGCCACCGCCUCCUUUUCUGCUUUCUGACCCCUCAUACUCCUUUUAACAAAUCCAGAAUUGACACCACUAAGGGCUCCGAUGGCUUUCGCGAACAGAGAGAAGUCCCGAUGGUGGUGAGAUGCGAAUAAACGGGUAAGUUUCAAUCCCUUUUUUAUGCUUUAUUUAAAAAAAACUAAAAUAUAUAAAAAGAAAUCACCUUUUUUAACUGAGUUCUUUUCUUAUUAAUAUUGUCUCUGUGUUACAAUCUGUUUUUUUUUGUGGCUUUAUAGCCGAAUACAAGAUUUUCGCUACUGUUUACUUUUUGUUUCUGCUACUGUUCCUGCUCUGUUGCUUGUUUGCAGGCAUUGACGACGGGAGCUUUGGGCAGCGUACGUGUUGGAGCAGGAGUACGGUGCACAUGGGGGUAGCGACGCUAGAAACCUCAGCGUUUCUGGCUUUCUGAAUUUUUUUUUAAGUUUUGGGCCUAUCACGCUUUGUAAAAAUGGACUGUUUAAUUUUUAUUUUAUUUUGAUUUGUUUUUUGUUUAGUGAGCCCGGGAAAAUUAGGCCUACUAUAAUGGUUUUGAGAACUUAUUUUUAUAAAUUGAGCCUAUAAAUAUUAAAUAGAUAAAUUGAGCUUAUAAAAUCCAAUUGCUAUAUAUUUUUAAUUGAUAAAAGACUUAGGGAUUGAAAUAGCAAUUAACCAAAGGUUUAAAAUGUCAAAUAAACCAUUUUACAAUAGCAAUUAAUGCAUGAUGAUGGAAGAUUCUAUUUAAGCUAAUUAAAGAUGGAUUAAGCUAAAUAAAAUAUUAUUAAAUUAAUUAAAUUAGGUGAUUAAGGAUUAAUUAAGGUAUAUAAGACAAACUUUAGUGGAAUUUAUUGAUCUUUUCACUUUUUCAAUCGUCCAAAACCAUAUAAAAACAAAAGGAGAGGGUUUUAGGUUUCAAAAGCAUUCGACCAACAAAUUGGAAAGCAAUUCAAACCUUUUUUCUUGUAAUUUUUAUAGAUUUGAAGUUAUGAGACUUUGAUUUAACUAGCUCAUAUACUAAUUUGCAAAACUAUUAAAAUUUUAGAAAAUUUUCAUUAUUGAUUUCUUGAAGAAUUAGGUGUGAAAUUGAUAGAAAUUAAGCUUCGUUUAUGAAAACGACUAAAUUGUAAAGCUUAAUUGUUAGUUUCAUACAUUAGAGACCGAAUUGAAUAACAUACAAAAAUUUUUAUAAAAUUUCAGUAGGAAUAGAAAGGAGGAGGUCCUUAAUGAAUUAAUGUGAAAUUAGAUUAUAAUUUGAAACUAGGAAUUUAAAGUUAUGCUUAUCCCGAGUUUAGGGGUUAAAUUGAAUAAAUUGUAUAAUAUACAUGCAUUGAUAAUUGCUUUUGAAUUGCCUAGAAAUUUAUAUUGAUAUAUGUUUUAUGAUUGUAAGUAGCUAACAUCGACACGGGGCCGUCAAGAGGGAGAGAGUUGUCGACGAUGAUACAGGACCCUGGUUUGUAUUUCUAUGAUUCGAGAUCAAUUUAAUUGUUUCAUUUUUAUGAUGUUUUCCAUGAUAUAACAUUGAGGUGAGUUAUCAAUGGCUAUUUGAACUGAAUUGUUUUGAUUGAGAUUGAAUUUUUGAGAUAGGGAGUAAAUUGAAUAGAAUGAAAAAUAGUAUGAUUUAAUUUAUAUGUGUUAUUUGGUAUGAAUUUUUAUUGAAAUAUAUUGUAUGAUGUGAUGAAAUGACGAAUUGGUAAUGAGAUUAAAGCACAAUAUGUUAUUAAGAUGUUUACUGGUUCAGUGUUAUCUUGUUAACGAAUUCGAGUUCCGUCAAAAUAGUUGGCAUGCCCUAGAUAGAAAACCAUCAUUUCUAAGCUAUUCGAGAUGGUAGAAUGUGUAUAUAGUGAUAUCCAUCAUUGCCUAACUAUUCGGAAUGGUAGAAUAUUUAUAUAUUGAAGACAUCGUUACCGAGCCAUCCAAGAUGGUAGGAUAGAUAAAUUGUAAGAACUAUCGUUGUCGGGCCAUCUGGGAUGGUAAAAUGUAAGAAUAGUGAAAGCCAUCAUUGUUGGGCCAUUCGAGAUGGUACUUUAUUGAAUAGCGCAAACCAUCAUUAUCAGGCCACCCAAGAUGUUAUAAUGAGUCUUGGUAGCAAAAGUAAUCAUUGUCGGGCAACCUGGGAUGAAAAAAGUAAUAUAUAAGUUAUGGAAUGUUAAUGAAUUGGUAUAAUAUACUUAUAUGUGAGUUAAGAUAGGUAAGGUAUGUAAAGUACUAUAUGUAUCAUUUGAAAAUGAGCUUUGGGGGCCAAACAAAUAUGAAUGAGUCAAUAGACUCUAGAACACAAUUGAAUGGUGGGUUAAACGAUAUAUUGGUGUUAAAUGAGAAUGGAAUUGAAUGUAUUGAAGUUGGAAUUGGUUUAAAGAUAGGUAGUGGAUAAGUGACUUGAAUUGAUUUUACUAUUGUUAUAGUAUGCUCAAAUGUAAAUACGUUAAUAGAAUUAUUUGGCAUUAUAGAACAUAUUUUGAAUAGUCAUUUAUAUUAUAUACCUCAUGACAAUUCACUAAUGCAUAUGUUAUUUUAUUUUAGGUCAUGAAAGUACUGCUGAGCUUAUAGCUCAGCGUACAGUUUGUUUAUUUUGUGCAUAGGUUCAGGUACCCUCGAGUCCCGAAAAAGUGAACUCAACACCCAAACCGCAUCCACCAUGUAACAGCUUGUUUUCAGUGAAAUCAGAAUAGUGGUUUUGGAAUCACAAAUAUAAAGUGAAAAUAUUUAUUUUAUUAUUAUUUUAAUGUCUACAACAUUUUAGCAGAGUCAUAUAAAAAUUUCGUUAAGAAAUUUUAUCAUUUGUAUGCUUAAUUCGAUAAAAAGGACUAAAUCGCAAAAGGUGUGAAACUUUAGUUCUAUAGGCUAAAGGUACUAAAUAGCUAUAGAAUUAAUGUGUAUGAGUCCUUAUAUGGUAAUUAAGCCAUUUUAAUUGUGAGUGGACAUUUAUGUGCAUGAUUAAGUGAAUUUAAUAAUAAAUAACAAAGGUUAAAAGUGUAAUUUAAUAAAUAAAGUAAAUUAAAUUAAACUAAAACAAGGUAUCAUCUUCCUAUUUUCAUCCCCAUCGAAUUUUUAACCUAAAAACAACAUGGGAAGAGCUUGAAACAUUUGACCAUCUUUCUCCCUUGCAUGUAAGUGAUUUUUUAUUCCGUUUUUAAUGAUUUCUAUAUUUUUGGAGUCGUCGUAGCCUAAUCUAGCUAAUCGAGGGACUAAUUUUCAAAACUAUUAAAAUAUUAGGGUUUUUCCAUGAAUGAAUACAUGUUUAUGAUGUUUGAUGGAAGAAAAUAAACCUUCCUUAUUAGAUAAACAAAUUUUGUUAAGUAAUUUUUUGAUGAAUUUGCCAAUUAGGGGUUUAAUUAAAAAAUGUAAAAAUUUCAUGGUGAAAUUGUGAAAAAAAUGAAAUGUAUGAGCUGCUAUGAGUCCAUAUGAAAUUUGGCUAUUAAAUUGUUAAGAAAUCAAAACAUUAGGAGCAAAAGCGUAAUUUUUCAAAAAUGUGAAUUUGGAUUGAAUUGAGUAGAAUGGCUACUAAUGUAACACCCCUUACCCAUACUCCACGCCAUAAUAAGGUACGACGCAUUACCGGACUUAUACACAAGUAAUCAUGCAGAACCGAGACAUAAAUUUCCAUCCAAAUUAAAACUUUUCAAAAACAUUCGUAUCGUCCCUUAGACGAGCCUACGAUGCCCAAAACAUACAUUGAGAGCGGUUCGGGACUAAACCGAACACUUAGAAAAUUUUUCAUAAAAACAAAGGUCACACGUCCGUGUGGUUUGGGACACACCCGUGUCCCUAACCCGUGUAACUCUCUGUUUAUGGUGUCAUCAAUAAAUUAGGGUCACACACGGCCAAAGUACACCUUGUGUGCUAGGCCAUGUAGGCGUACAUGCACGUGUGCUAGUCUAUGUAGGCGAUUUAACUUUCAUAAUUUGUCAUAAAAUAGGUGCAGGCUUCACAUGCCCUGGGCACACGCCCAUGUCCUUGGGCCGUGUCCUUCACACGGCUGAGACACACAGCUGUGUCUCUACCCGUGUGGCCAAUUCAAAGCUAAAAUUCAAAAAUAUAAGGGACACACGGCAAGAUCACACACUCAAAGGGCAAGCCGUGUGUCAUACACAGCCUAGACACACGCCAGUGUGUCUACCUGUAUGGACAAAAUUAAGGCUAUUUACCAAGCCUUCUUGCCACCCUUACUUGCACCAACCUACACAACAUCAAACAACACAAAUCCAAGCAUAUACACACAACCAAUUCAGCCACAACCAAGACAUCCACAUAUCAAUUACAUGCUAUUUUCUAUCACAUACAACAUUUCAUAAUUAUCAUCACAAACCAUGCAAUAACUCCAUCCAUGAAAGGCAUCACUAUAUGUAUAAAAAUUUAACCAAUAUUAGCCAAUUACCAAAUGGCCAUUUACAAAAUGAAUCAAAUACCAUUACAAGCCAACACAUUUGGCCAAAUCAAUAAUGACACAUACCACAAAAGACCAAGUCCCUAUACAUGUCAUAACUCAAAAUAAUGUAAUAAUAAGUACCCAAAACGAUAAUUUGAUAGUGUGAGUGGAUCUCUGACUGUCUUCGAUCCCCGAGCUAGCUUGAUGACACUAUAAGAAAUGAAAAAGAAUGGGGUAAGCUUUAAACUUAGUAAGUUAGCAUGUAAAUAAUAAUCAACUUUAAACAUACAAUAACAUACACAUAACAUAAUGUAAAUUAACACAACAUCAUCAAGUGAUCAUAGACAUAUCUUACUCAUUUACAUCCUUACCAAUAGUACAUCUUAAACCGAGAUCAUUUCUCAUGAGUUUUGCGUACGUACCUGUACCACUUCAUAACAUAAUCAUAACCUUUCACAUCUUUGACAUAAUCUUUAAAUUACCCGUUGAACCACUUGGAAUACACAUAGAAUCAUACCAAUGCCAUAUCCCAGAUAUGGUCUUACAUGGGAUCUCAUAUCGAUACCAAUAGCCCAACUAUGGUAUUACACGAUUCUCAUAUUGAUUCCAUGUCCCAGACAUGGUCCUAUAUGAAAUCUCAUAACGAUGUCAUAUCCCAGAUAUGGUCUUACACGUAAACUCAUAACCCUAAGGUCAUGACAUUGGUAUCCUAACUAUUCCUAAGGUUCAACCUGAAAUUUCGCCGUAUCGAAUAUUUGCCGAACGAAUCCAUAAUAAUAAUUGUACAAGUCAUGCAAUAACAAAAUAUUAAAUACAUAAUACAAGUUGCAUUAUUUACACACGAACUUACCUUGGCACAAAAUAUGGCUAACUAAUUCGAUUUAGUCCACAACAUUAUUCUUUCCCCGGUCUAGGUUCGGACUCCGUUUUUCUCGAUCUAUAAUAGCAAAUUUAGCUCAUUUAAUUAUCACAUUGUUCAAAUCAGUCCAAAAACCAUACUUUGGAAAAAUUAUAGUUUUUCCCCUCAACUUUCACAUAUUUAUAAUUUAGUCCUUAGGCUCGUAAAAUGAAAUGUACUCAUUUUCUUUAUUACCCAAGCCUAUCCGAACCUAUAUAAUGCUUAUACCAGCCCACAUUUUUCAUCAAAUCACAUUUCUACUACCCAUUUUUAUAACUUUUACAAAUAAGCCAUUUUUAGGUGUUUUCAUCAAAAAUCAUUUAGUAAAAGAUGUUUAUCACACAUCAAACUUUCAUAAUCUACCAUGAAACAUCAAAAUACAUGCAUGCCAUACAUAGGUCAAACGCUAGGCAUCAACUCUAGCUCAAAUAAAUGGUAGAAAUGGCUAGAUCAGUUGAUAACAACUUCAAAAAUGUAAAGAACAUUGAAAACGGGGCUAGGAUGCACUUAACAUCAAGUUUAAAAGUUGAACAAAACCCUAGCAAUGGUUUCUUGACAAUUUCGGCUAUGGCAUGGAGAAGAUGAGAAAAUUUUGACUUGUUUCCCUUUUUAUUCUUUUAAUUACUAAAUGACCAAAAUGCUCUUUUUACUAAACUUUUAAUUUUUACUUAUUCAUGCGCAUUUUUGUCCAUAAAAAUAGAAAUUGGUCAAAUUUUUAUUUAAGGACCUCAAAUUAAUAAUCCAUAGCUAUUUCUUUCUUAAAGCUUCUAGAAUCACAUAUUUUGUAACUUUUGUAAUUUAGUCCUAAAUAUCAAAUUGGACACUCUAUCAGCAAAAUUUAUUAACGAAACUUUCAUACAAUCAUGCAAACAUAUCAUAGACCUCAACACAUUCAUCAAAUAAUUAUUUCUACUUUGAAUUUGUGGUCUCGAAACCACUAUUCCGACUAGGCCCAAUAUCAGGAUGUUACAAUUAAAUUGAUUGAAUUUAUUCAUUUAGAUCAAGAUAGACCUCGUACAAUUUUAGAUCAAGGCAAAGAGAAAGUUUUAGAUUAAUCGACUCCGUUUCUACAUUUUAUCGUCGAGGUAAGUUCAUACAUUUAAAUAGCGUUUUAAAUUAUGUUUUAAAUGCUAUCAUUUUAUAAUAUCAAAUAUGUCUUGGCGGAAAAAUCCAAUAGCGUAACGACAAUCAUCAACUAUGGAAAGGGAUAGCUUCGACUAUCGAUUAUGAAAAGGGAUGGUGACGACCAUCAACUAUGAAAAGGGAUGGUGACAACCAUCGAAUAUGAAAAAGGGACAGUUUUGGCUAUUGAUUAUGAAAAGGGAUAACUUCGGCUAUCGAUUAUGAAAAGGGAUGGUGACGACCAUUAACUAUGAAAAGGUAUGGUGACGACCGUCGAAUAUGAAAAGGGAUAGCUUCAGCUAUCAAUUAUGAAAAGGGAUAGUAACGACUUUCAACUGUGAAAAGGGAUGGUAACGACUUUCAACUACGAAAAGGGAUGGUGACGACCAUUGAAUAUGAAAAGGGAUAGCUUUGGCUAUCGAUUAUGAAAGGGGAUAGUAGUGACCAUCAACUAUGAACAGGGAUGGUAACGACCAUCGAAUAUGAAAAGGGAUAGCAUCGGCUAUCAAUUAUGAAAGUGGAUGGUGACGACCAUCAACAAUGAAAAGGGAUGGUGACGACCAUCGUGAUUCCACUUCAUGUGAGCUUCGAUAAGAUUUUUUGAUACAAGUUACUUGUUACUAUAGAAGGUAGGAAGCAUGUGUAUUCAUGAUUUGAGAAAAGCUAUUUUAUCAUGUGUUGAUAUUAAAUUUAUGUGAUCAAGCACUAAUUUGGGUUGUUGGUGAUACUUAGGCUUAUGCCAAGCUUGUGUUGGAAUAAUUCAUUUUUUUAAGCUUAUACAUUGUAUUGGUAAGCAUCGUUUAUGAAUUACGAACUUACUAAUCAUUAUAUGCUUACCUUGUGCUCGUUUUUUUAUGUUUUGUAAUUAAUCGGAAGCUCGUUCGGGUUGGAAGUUUGUCGGAGACCUAUCACACUAUCCAUCAGCUAUAUUGGCAGAUUUUGAUGUUUUUAAGUCAUGGUUAUAAUGACAUGUAUAGGUGUAUUGUGCUUAAUGAAAUGGUAUUUUAGUUAAUGAAAUAGUUGUCAUGUUGGCUUGUAUAUAUGUGGAUUUCUGAUAGUUGAUAAUUUGGCAUUUUGGUUCUUUUUUGUGCUUGAUGGUGGAAUGGUCAAGUUGAUGUAUGUUUUAGUAACCAUUUUGGUAUAUUUGAAUGUGAUUUUGGUAUGGUAAUUUUGGUAGAAUUUGGUAUGGAAAUUGGUUGCAAUUAUUGAGUUGUUAAAUGACUAAGUUAUUCUUGUGUUUGAGUAUAUGUAAUGUCAUGAAAAUUGAGGUGCCUUUUGGCAUAUUAGUUGUAUGAGUUGGUACCAUAUUGUGCUAGCUUGAUUAUGCAUAUUUUAGGUACAUUUUGGAUGCUUGAAUUGGAUGCAAAUGGGUUGUAUAGGUGUGCACAAUUUGGUUGAAGGAAAUCGCUUGAAAAUGACCCAUUUCUUAUCUAUACAGCCUAGGACACGGGCGUGUGCCUUAUUCGUGUGUGACACACAGCCAUGCGACAUGGUCAUAUGUCCCCUGUAGGUUUCAAAGGGUUGCAAGUCAGGCAGUUACACAACCUAGCACACGGCCUGGCACAUGGGUGUGUGGCUUGGCCGUGUGACCCAAGUCAGUGAGUUACACAGGCAUAGACACGGCUGUGUGUUCCUGCUUCGAAUGUCCACAUGGCCUGAGACACGGGCGUGUGUCUAAGCCGUGUGACCCCUAUAGUAUGAAAAUUUUUAACUUUUUUCCAAAAAUUCUAUAUGUUUUGGAUUUAGUCCCGGAUAGUUCCUAAAGUGUUUCUAUGGUCUUGAUGGCUCAAAUAAGGGACAAUAAGCUUAUGUUUGAAUGGAAUACGAUGUGAUUCUUGAAAUGUUUCGAGAUGAAUAUUUAAGUGUUAAAUUUUCGGUAAUGCUCUGUAAGCUUAUUCCAGCGAUGGAUACGGGUUAGUGGUGUUAAAUCAACUUAACAUAGUUUGCAUAGUUCUCUUUUUUUCGUUAAAAGUCAUGUGUUUAGGCUUUAGUUGUUCAAAGUUUACAUAUGAUCAUUCCAAGCUAUAAUGUUGUAAGUUUAAUGAAAUGGCUAAUGUCCAUGUAUAAAAAAAAUUGUUAAUAGCUUAGAAUCUUUAUGUUGAAUGUGUUUGUAUGUGUAAAUGGUUAAAUUGAGGUCUUAACACCAACAAUUUUGUAUAGGAUUUUUGCUUAGGAUGUUUGAAUAGGUACCAAUUGGACAUUGAUAAAAUUCAGGGGUCAAGUCGCAACGACAUAAUCCCAACGUCACGACGAGAAAUAGUUUAAGGCUUACGUUGUGACAACGUAGCCUCUCAUAAUGAACCAAGUCAAUGAGUUGUGUCGUGACAAGGAAACUCUAAAGCCGCAACGUCAACCCGGAACUUUGUAACCUAUAAAUUUUGAUCCUAUUUCAACUCUGGCUUAGCAAAAGAGCUUUCAUAAGUUCGUACAAGACCUGGAAUUGAUUAUGUAUUGUUUAAUUGACAUGUUUUACUUGUAUUUGAUUAUAUAAUUAUGUUUGUAAACGCCCAAAUUUGACCGGGCCUUAAUACCAACAAGCCCAAAUCAAACCAAACACUACCCUAGUCCAAAAUUUUACAAGCCCAUAACCCAAAAAAAAGAAAAAAAGAAGAAGCAGAAACAAGAAAAAAACCUAGCAGCAGUAUGCGCCGCUCCCCACGUGCCUGGUCAGCGCGUUCAACGCUUGAGGCUCAACCACUCCCUGGCUUCAUCCCAUCGCUUCCAAAGACCUGCAAGCUGCGAGAAAAGAGAAGAGAUAACAGCAAAGAAACAUAAAAAGGGAAACAAUAGCCUAGCAAUAAAAAGUAGCAUGAGCAGUAGCAAGAAAAAUUGUAAAAAUUGGCUAUAAAGCCACCAAAAACAGAUUGUAAAAUGGGUUUUUUUUGGAGAAAUCAAACAACAAAAAAACAAUUUCAAUAGCGAUCAAAAAGUCAGAUUCAAAGUAAAAAGGUGUAUUUUCGUUCAUUUCUUUGUUUAUUCGAAAUACAAAAAGGCAAUAAUAACAUUAAAAAUCCUACCUUGACGCGUCUUCGGUCGUCGGUGGGGGGUCUCCGGCAACCCAAACGUCGUGGAACCCAUUUGGGUUCCGACGAGGUCGAAAAAUGCCACGAAAACGAAGGCGUUUCCUCCAUGAUUCACACCUUUUCCCCUUAAUCCCGUUUUAAACUCUCUAGAUCUAGUUUUCCUUUUAGAUUUUUUUUUAACAAAAAAAGGAGGGGAAAAGGUUUGAAAAGGGCAUAAAACGGGGUCGGAUCUGUGCGCCCUCAACCACCACUCACGGCGGUAUCGCAAUGGUGUCGGCGAUGAUGGGUUUCAAACCCUAGCUGAAAAGAAAAGUAGGAAAAAUGAAGUUUCUUCUUUGACUUGUUUUCUUUUUUUAAGAGAACAAAUGGCAGAGAAAGAAAUGAAACUCAUUUAAAUGGCAAAGCAAAACGGCAUUCUUUUGCAUCAAGGAGAUCGGUGGGCUAUUUGCCACUUUGAUCCUUCUGUUUCUCUACGACUAUCGAUUAGAUCCCUUCUCCCCUCUAUUUUGUUUCUUUUUAAUUUUGCCCCAGGAUUCUUAUGUCUGAUCCAUUUUACUCCUACAUAAAAUGGUGCGCAGAGAAAUUAAGGGAUAAUUUCCCGAUCAGUCCUCAAUUUAUUGCGCGCAUUUAAUUCUAAUCCCUAUUUCUUUUUCUUUAUUUAAUUUAUUAUGAGUUAUAUUCUAAUUUUGUUUAACCUUCAAUCCAAUCCCUUUUAUGGUCUCAUUUAUUAUUAUUUAAGAUUUUAAAUUUCAUUUUAAUUUCAAUUUACCUUUUUUAAUUCUGUUUAAGUUUCAAUUCUGUCCUUUGAUUAUUUAUGUUCACUUUCUUUAUAUUUUUUUAUUGUUUAUUAUCCUUUUAAAUACCUAGGUUUAAUAUUAUUUAUAUUCUUUUACUUUUAAAAUACUUAACAUUACUGUUAUGUAUAUUUGUUUUUAUUUUUGUACAAAAUUUCAUCAUUUGUCAUUAUUCUUAUUUUUUUCUCGUUGCUUAUUUAUUUCUUUACUUAUUUUUUAUACCUUCAUAUUUUAUUUAUUUUUCUUCAUCACGCAUGUUCCAUUUUUAUUUUAAUCAUUUAUUAUUACUAUUACUUUUAUUAUUAUUACUGUUUCUAUUAUUGUUUUUCUAUUACUAUUUAUGUUAUUGUUGGCACUAUUCUUUAUUUUAUUAUUAUUAUUAUUUAUUAUUUUAUCAUUCCUUUCUAUUAUUGUUAUUAUUAGUAUACUAUUAUUAUUCUUAUUAAUGUAUUAUUAUUAUUUUCUACUUUAUUAUUAUAUUAUUACUAUUGCUAUCAUCAUCUUAUUAAACUAAUUAAUUUUAUAUUGAUUUUGUCACAUUAUACAUAUAUUUUUUGUAUUUAUUUACAUUAUUAUUUCUAUUACUUUUAUUAUUAUUAUUAUUAUUAUUCUCUUAAAAUAUAAUUGUUCAUAAUCUCUUAUUCACGUAAAAUUUUACUAUUAUCAUCCUUACAUUAUUUUAAUCCUUCCUUGUUACUUAUUUGUUUUUUGGUACUUUCAUGUUUAUUUUUAUGUAUAUUCCACUUUCUUUCAUGUUUAUUUUUUAUGAAUAUCAUGGUUUAAUUAAUAUUAGAUUUAAUUGAUAAUUGCCAUCGCAUACUCGUUGUUUUAUUAUUAUAGAUAUGUCGUUAUGUUAUUUAUUCGUGUUAUCAUUCUAUUAUUAUUUCAAUCACAUCAUGAGCCAUGUUAAAGGUUCAUUCUUUACACUAAAAUCCAAAUGAUACGCAUGAUUUUAAAUAUUGCAUACAUAUUUAUUUAAAUAUACAAAAAUAAAAUAAGGCAAUAUUUCGUUCUUGGAAAUUCGAGAAAAUCGUGCCCUAACUUACUGGGUUUCGAUUUUUCUCGUUUAAUCUAAAUAACCGAAUAUCCUUUUAAAAUUUAAAUACGUUUUUUUUAAAUCAAAAGGCAAGCUUAUUUUCGGGGGUUUAAACUGUUGUGUCCUAACGUUCUGGAUGUGACAUUUAAUUACUUCGAGAUAAGAAGGUCUUUAGCAUCCGCUUCGAUUUAUUCAAUUAUUUUUGUAAAACGAACAUUCAUAAAAAGGGAUUUUAAAAAUUAGAAACAAGGCAAUAUUUUGUGUUUGAAAAUUUCGAGAAAUCGUUCCCUACGUGAUGGGUUUCGAUUUAUCGUUUGACCGAACAACCGAAUAUUCUUUUUAAAAGUUCAAUGCAUGAGUUUUGUAAAUCAUGAGAUGAUUUUGGUAUCGAAGGUUUGAAAUGUCGUGUCCUACGUGCUGGAUGUGAUAUUUUAUUUCUUCGAAACAAGAGAAUCUUAAUAUCCACCUCGAGUUAUCCAAACAUUCAUAAAAAAGGAUCGUAUUUUAAAAUUUAUUCUAAAAUUUUUUUAACUUUCGACAUCAAGACAUUAGUUAAUCAAUUAGUUACCAAUUUUGGGCGUUACGAGGGUGCUAAUCCUUCCUCGUACGUAACCGACUCCUGAACCCGUUUUCUCAAAUUUCGUAGACCAAAAUUGUUGUUUUAGUAAACCAAAAUGUUUUAUUAAAAUGACUAAACUUCUUGGUGAUCCGAUCACACCUAAACAAAAAAAGAUUAGUGGCGACUCCCAUGUUCGUUUUCAUUUUCAAAACCAAAGUCGACCCUGUUUUUUUUCAAAAAGAAUGGUUUCGACAGCUUGGCGACUCCACUGGGGACUUGAGAGUCGAGCCAUAAAUUGAUUGAUUUUUGUCUUUUGCCGAAAAUUGAAAACUCGUUUUAAACUUAUGAUCCUUUCAUUGCCGAAAAUGUCGUGUCCUACGUGCUAGAUGUGAUAUUUUAUUUCUUCAAAACAAGAGAAUCUUAAUAUCCACCUCGAGUUAUCCAAACAUUCAUAAAAAGCGAUCGUAUUUUAAAAUUUAUUCUAAAAUCUUUUUAACUUUCGACAUCAAGACAUUAGUUAAUCAAUUAGGUACCAAUUUUGGGCGUUACGAGGGUGCUAAUCAUUCCUCGUACGUAAUCGACUCCCGAACCCAUUUUCCCAAAUUUCAUAGACCAAAAUCGUUGUUUUAGUAAACCAAAAUGUUUUAUUAAAAUGACCAAACUUCUUGGUGAUCCGAUCACACCUAAACAAAAAAAGAUUAGUGGCGACUCCCAUGUUCGUUUUCAUUUUCAAAACCAAAGUUGACCUCUUUUUUUUCAAAAAAAAUGGUUUCGACAAUGUUGAAUUGUGUAUUUUUUAUUGUAGCUACUCCGAAAACUAAUGUUCCACCUUGUAGCUCGGACCCGACAAUCAGGUCAAGUAUCAAGGUGAUACAUAGUAUUAUGAGAUGUUGACAUUUUGAUUUGGGCCUAAAAAUAAGUUUUUACCAUAGACAAGUGGACUUCAAAACAUAUUUUAUUUCAUCUCAAAACGAUGUGAAUCACAUGUGGUGGCUGAACAAAGAUUGGAGAUCGACAUGCCUUUAUUGGAUAAGGCUUAUGCUUAUCCUUUAGCCUGAGUGAUUUAUGUGCUAAUAUUUUUAGAUUUAUCAAGCUUUAUCUUGGGAUAAAUUUUGAAGGUUAUUUAUACAUAAUUAUUAUGUUGUUAAAGAUGAUUUUAUCUCUGCUUGGACUGAUCUGAUAGGCUGUCUCAUUUGGCCUAUAAAGAGUCAAAUAUUCACAUAUGGAGAUUCAUCUUUUGGGGUUGCUUGUGUUGCAUUUGGUUAAUUUAUUUGAUGUCGACUUUUACUUAUAUUUUGCACUCUUUUCACAGGCUUUAUUGAAGAGUAUUAAACUUGUAAGUGAGGUUAUUUUUGUGAGUAGUUGUAACAAAUUGAGACUAGCUAUUGGGGUUGCAAUUGCUUAUUGUGUAAAGAUAGAUUGGGUUUUAGCCAAUAAAUGAUCGAAUUAAUUGUUGAAUAAGCCAUUCACUGAGUGAGAUUUCGUAGAGUAGAAUCAAUUCCGAACUACGUUAACAAAUUUUGUUUGCAUACCUCUUUUUUCUUUUUUGUUUUUUUCUUUGUUCAAACUCAUGUCUAAACACUUAUUUAGACAACACUUUGAACAAGUGGCAAAUUGACUAGUUUUUUCAAUUUUUUUCAUCUACAAAAAAAUGUAAUCUCGCCAUUGCUCUUUUAUCUUGUUUGUUGAAGUAAAAAACUUAAUAAAAAGAAUAAAGUAACAUCUAGUCCUUGAAUUUGGUAAUUUUUCUUAACUUGGUCAUUGGAUUUUUUUUUUUGUUCAUAGUAGUCUAGAAAUUUGACAACUUUUCCUAAUUUGAUUCUUGAAUUUAAAUUUUAUUAAAACAUGAUGAUAUUAAGAAAAAAUGUUAAAUUUCAAGAUUAAUACAGACCAAAAAUAAGAAAAAUUGACAAAUUCUUAUACGAAAUGUUACUUUGUCCCUUAUAUUUAUUUCACUAACCAUGUAUAAUUUUGUAUACUUUCAACACAUCUAAUAUUAAUGCAUAAUAUAAUAGUGUAAGUGCUAAAAAUAAGAUCUAGAAAAGAUGGAUUAAGAGGAGUCGAACAACUUGUUUACAUAACAUCCAACUUGUUCCAAAAAAAAAAAAACACAGAGCCAGAUGGGGGUAAUUACAUUACAAGUUGGUCAAUAUAUUAUAUAAUUUAUGUACAACUUGAUGAACUUUUAAUAUUAUUAGAAACUAAAAACAUGGUGAAGUGAUCCUAAAAACAUGUUCCUCACCGGUCCAUUUAUCUAUUUUAACAACCCACCGGCUUCUUUUUCUACUAUUAAACCCAUCACCGGCACCUUUCCUCGUCGGAGCUUUUCUGAUCACCAGCAAACCAUCUCCGAUGGGCAAAAAAUGGGUCUUCAAUUCAUCAACAUUGUUCCAACCAUGUCCUUUAUGAAGGGCAUUGUACCCUACAAUAAGGGCACCCCUAUUAUGCUUUGUACCCUCUUGUGCUGCCUUCAAUACUUCCUUGUGACCGUCGAUGUUGCAGUCGAUGAGCACGAAAUCGGCGGUUUCGUAAUCGUUUAGGACCAUUUUGGCAUCUCCGAUGACGAAGGUUAAUGACCCUCUGUAGUUGCCUAGUGCAGUUUUCAAUGCGACGUAAUCGUCAAGACUAUUCAAGAUGCAUACUACUUUGCCACCAGUUUGACGUGCCGCAGCGAUUAAAGCUAGCGCGGUAGAUCCUGCUACGCCGGCACAUGUCAUUACCAUGAGCUGCGCAUUGUUGCCCGCCGCCAUGGCGGAUAUGAACUCCGAUACGUCUGGUUCUUUGCCUCUUUUCCCCUAUAAAACAAAACACAUCAAAAAUAAGUACGUAAGUACAUACAUACAUACAUAGCAUCAAUGGACUUAUGUGGGUUUUGGUUACCAUUUUCAAUGCUCGGAGAUAAGCUUUGGUGGCGUUCUCAGCAGACCAAAAAGCCAUAUUGUGUUUUGCUUGAAACUUGAAUAGUUGAAAGUAUAUGUUUGAUAAACCGUACAUUUGCCAUUGGUUUUAUAUAUACAGAGGGGUACAAUUAAUAUUAUUAUAUUUGCAUGAGGCAGGUUCUUAAGAGAUUCUACACGACAGCUCGAUAAUAUUUUUAUAUAAUUAUAGAUAUAUUCAUCCAUUUUACUAUUUGAGCUUAACUUUAUUCGAAUUGAGAUGAUAUUUAAUUAAACCCUCAUGAAAAAAUAAUUUUAAGAAUUAAAAAAAAAAAAAACUUUACUAUCACUUAUUUUAACAAUUUAUUGAUAAAUAUUAAAUAAUAAUAAUAACCAAAUCUUAUUUUAAAAUACAAAUAUAUCAAAAUUUAAAUAAAACGAUCGUAAAUCAAAAUUUAUAUAAAUAUGUAGUAUAAUAAAUUGAAAAUGAAAGGUGAAUGUAUUUUGAAUUAAUAUGCAAUAUGCAAUAUCCAAUAUCCCCCACCCCCAAAUGGGUAUGGGGCAAAAUGAAAUGUUAGUAGCUCAAAACUUCAUGACAUCAUUAUAUAUGGUAUGGAGCUAGCAGUUUGCAGCCAUAUUCAUGUCUUGUUUUGAGGAUAAUGUCUUGCCCACUUGCUUGUAUAGAUUAUCAUUAGAGCCAUAAAUCAACAAUACAUCUUAGUUUUUGUUUGUUUAUUAAGAUAAAUAAAUAUAUGUAAAUUAUACUUAAAGUUAUUAAAUUAUUAAUAAGUUUAUAUUUUAGUAAUUUAAUUUCGAAAAGUUACAAAAUAAUUACUAAAAUAUUCAAAAAAAAUUAUUUAAGUCACUGAAUUUUUAAAAUUGUUGUUGUAUAGCCUUCUUUGUUCAUACUAUCGGCUUCAAUCAAAAGCUGUCAUUCUAUUUCUUUUUUACAAUUCAAUUUUUUUUAUAAAACUUUGAAUGUUAUGAAUCUACGAACCAAAAUCUAAGCAAUUUUUUCUCUAAUAUUUGACAUUGAUUGUCAAAUCGACUUGGAUCUGAGCUAAGUUUCUCUACUCGUCAAUGUGUAUUGAUCUAUCAUACUAAUCAUUGAAUUGUCACUUAAAACUCACUAACUGAACUUUAAAAAAAAAUUUAACAAUUCAAUGACUUAAAUAAAAACUUUCGAAUAGUUUAAUGUCAAUUUUGUAACUUUUUGAAAUUGAGUGACCAAAAUAUAAACUUACUAAUAGUUUAGUAACCUCGGAUAUAAUUUUCUAUUUUUGAAAUUCAUUUAUUAAAUAAACCAAACACGAACAUAACAUAUUCAAUUCAUUUAUGUAUAUAACCAAACUCAUUUUUAUUCAUUUAAAUCACUUUUUAUAAGUUUUAUAAAAUUUCUUCAUUUAGACCUAUUGGUUCAAGCUAAAUUCAUUACAACCCUACAACAUUGGGGAAGCUUGACAACCUAGAAUAUAUCGAAAACCACUUACAGCCCACAGUGUUGAAUCUAUUUUAUAACAUAAAUCUUGCCUGAAAAUCAAGAUCCAUGUACAAAAAAAUUAAUGAAUAAAGCAGAUGAGCAGAGAAAGAACAUGUUGUAGGCAAUGGCUCCCACAUGUUGCCAACAAGUCCCUGGAACAGUUGCCCGCACCAGUCGUGAACCAAUGGUUCUUGUUUAUAAAUUUGUGACCUUCCUAGAUAUAGCUCAAAUCCUAGAAAUUUUGAAUCAUUGGAAUUUGAUUUCUACUUUACGCCAUUCCCAAAGUAUUCAGCUUUUAAGUGAAGAGUUAAUUCCAUUAUAAAUCCUUCAACUAUCGCUUAGAUUUCAAAUCGGUCCUUAAGCUUUAAACGUUUUAAUUGUGUAUUGACAUAUCAAUAUCGUAUCAAUCAAGUUAUUUCGUUAACUUUUUGUUAAUUUGGCAUUAAAUGUUGGUUCAAGCUAGCAUGAGCAUUUGAUACAAGUAUGUGUGUAAUUUUAAUGAUAUCAUACAACAACGAAGUCAAAAAAUUUAUUUGAGGAGUUAAAAUAAAAUUCUAAAACUUUGAAGUGGCGAAGCUAAAAAUUUUAUUCUAAAAGAGCUUAGAUUAUAGAAUUAAUUUUUAUGAAGGGCCAACAUUACAAAUUUUCUAUUGAUUUGAAUGGUUAAGAUGUUAGAUUAUAGAAACCGUAUGCUUGUUUAACAUUAACAUGUUAGAUAAGCUAAGAGUAGGAGCCUUGUCUCCCCUUGGUUAAAUUGUAUAAUUCUCUUUGUAAUCCCUCUUAAAUAUUAAAUGUUCAAUUUUAAUCCUUUUUUUCGAUCAAAUGAAAAAAAAAUGUUUUUUUUGGCCAUUACAAAAAUUAUUUAUUCAAUUUAGAUCAUUUUAACUCACGGUUCUUUAGCUUUGCUCCUCUAUCUACCCAAAAAAGAAUCUUAAUUCUCUCAAUCCCCUUAAUAUAAGAUUUCUAAUUUCAUCUUUAAUACAUGUUUACAAUUUAAUCCACAUACUUUAAGAAUGAUCCACAUCAUACCUUAAUUAACAUUUAACGCUUAAACAGAUAAUUAAGUUGAUCGAUUCUUUCAAGGCUUUUUAAAGAUCAAUAAAAAUUUAAAAACUUAAAAAUGUUUAAUACAAUUAACCCAUAAAAAUACAACCAUUCUUCAUUCAACAUUAAUGUUUUACAAUGGAAAACAAACCUCCAAGUUUGCAGUAGAUAUUAUUACCAUCAUCAUUGAGCUUAAAAAUUCCCACAUAAAUAAAUUAGCUUCACCGGUCAAGAGAAUAAAUAAUAUUAUUAAUAAUGGAAAAUUAAUUUCAAAAAUGGAAAUUUUGAUGUGCAAAACCAAUCAAGUUGAUAUUUUUUUAAAAUAAUAAUAAUAAUAAUAAUAAACAUUGGAAUAAGGUUAUAUUAAUGAUUUUUUUUUCCCUAACAGCCAACACUAGAAUCUAAGUAAGAUUAUAUUGUUUGUUUUUCUCAGGCAUAUGCAUUGACAAUCACAGCCUACCCAUGAUGUUUGUAUUGUUUUAUGGCCUCAUUUGCAAAUUUUUUUCCUUUUUUUGGGGGGAUUCUUGAAAGCUUAUUUUACUUGUUUCUUUCUCUGUGUUUUAUUCGUCUUGUCAGUUCUGUAAACAAUUUCCUUUGAUCUGCAUGAUUUGUUUGUUGGGGUUUAAUGAGAAUUUAAAAAAAAUUAGGAAUUUAAUUGAAAUUUUUUUAAAUUAUGAGACUGUAAUGAGAAUUUCUAGAAAUUUUAAAAGAAUUUAAUUGAAAUUUUCAAAAAGUUUCAAAAGAAUAAUGAAAAAGAAAAAAAAAAUGGAGGAGGGCGUCUCCAAUAUUUAGUUGUGCCGUUAUAAGAAGGCAAGUAUUCAAAAUAAUUUACUCUUUCUUUUUUUUUUCCAAGUUAUUUGUUUCUUAUCUUUUCUUUUUACUCAGCGAUGGUGUCAACCUUUGGGAUGGCUAUCACUUGUUUUUUUCUCUCACCAACCCUUUCCUUUUUUUCUUUUUCUCAUUCAUUACACAUAUCUUCUCUUUUUUUAGUUUUUAGAUCUAUUUUGUGGGUAUUUUUGUUAUCUUCAUAAGUUGUGAUAGACAAAUGACAAUGCCUGUCGUUUGCUAAAACUCCAUCGACCACCAAUAGUUUUUCUUGGAAAGUGGGUGACUCUUCGUUAACUUCUUACUUUUGAGAGUAUUUCAGAAAAAUAAAUGAUUUCACCUGUUGAUUUGGACCCAUAUUGUCUUAAGUUUUAUAUAUUUUUUGUUUGUUUAAUAAGUCUUUAGUUUUAAAAAAUUUUAUCUACUUCUAUAGCACAUUUUUUAGUCUUGUUUAUGCAUGUAAUUUUAGUUUUACAAGUGAUUUUAUGAAUAUUUUUUUUGCCAUCCUCUGUAGUUUGGUGAAUGGUUGAUUUUUGCUCGCCGUUUUGGACCAUCCAGGGUUGAUUUCCUUAUCAUAUUAAGUGCUUGCAAUCACCCCAAAUGUGUCAUUCUUGAGUUGUGACAAAACCAAUUGUCAACAUGUCAUAAUGUUCUAUUGAUGCUGAGGCUAAAGUCUUUGUUGUGUUGAUGGAGCUUGUUAUUCACCAUCUACGAAGAGUGUUUGCUAUUAUUUUCUCUCUGAAUUGUAUGGUUCCAUUUAUUGAAUGAAUUAAUUAAUUUACCUUUCAAAAAAAUGAUUAAAUUACUUUCUUAGUUUUUAGAAAUUUAUAGUUUUACAUAGGGAUGUAAUCGAGUCAAAAUUUGGAGUUUGAUACUCAAUUUGAAUUCAAUCAAACGUCUAUUUUUAAGUUUGAGUUCGAGCUCGAUUAAGUUCAUUUACCAAUUUUUGUACUUGAGGUUAAGCUUGACUCAAUAAUUAAGUUUAAGGUUAAUAAUAUAUAUUAAAAGUAAUAAUUUAAUUUAAUAAUAUAUAAAUACAAAAAACUCGACAAGGCUUGCAAGCCAUUUGAAUCAACCCAAAUUCAACUUGAUCGAUGGCUCUAGCUCAGCUUGAUAAUUACCAAAUCGAGUUCAACUUAUUUUUAAAUUGAACUUAAAUAACUUGUGAGCACCAAUAUAUCAUUUACACAAUUAAUUUUAUCUAAACUUUUUAAUACAAAAUCCAUGCCUUUGGUCCUUAUUUCGACCCUGACAUAAAAUUCUUAACUUGGCCCCUAAUAAGAGGCAAAACUCUCCUACCAUUGUAUUCUUCAUCCACUAAACUCUUGCAUAGAGAUGCUUAUUAUACCUAUUCAUGGACUGGCUCGAUUUAAAAAAAUUCAAACCUAAACUUAUUUUCAGUCUCCUUGAAAAGCUCAUUACAUUGUUCAAAAAUUAAUAAAAUAUUAACAUCAAGCUGAGCUAAAAAAAGCUUUAUCCAAACCCGUCCCAAAAUUUCCAUUUCUCACAAGGAUUAAUUCACCAUGGCUUAAAUUUUUAAUACAUCUCCAAAUUUGAAAACCUUCUGAUUAAGAUUUGAAAUUAUUAGAGUAAUUGUCAUAUCUUGGGUGGGUCUAAUAUAAGGUAUAAUUAAAACAAGCCGCAUAUUUAAUACCUAAAUUAACGAUUAAAAUAAUAAAAAAAAGCUUGAUUAAUGUAAUAUGAUACUCAAUAAUAUGUUAACGUAAUGUUGAUUGAAUAUUAGUUAGAUUGGUAUGAACAUUGUUAUCAAUACAAGAGAAGUAAAUUUGAGUGCGUUAAAGCACAUUAUCUUUCUAUUUAUAAGUUGAGGAGAGACUGUGGAUAAUUCUAGGACUUGUGUCAAAAUAACAUAUAUGAUCAGAAUCUAUAAUGUAAUUAUUAAAAAAAAAACAAACGAUAUUAAUACAAAUACAAACAAUUCAAGCAAAUUUGAAAUACAAAACCAUUUUCUUCUAUAUUUUCAGUCAGCAUGUACAAAUGUCACAUGAAAACGAACAGUUAGAGCCGGAAUACCUGUACAAAAACAAGGAAGCAAUGUCGGAGUGCUUCCUGUAUCUAUAAUUACAAGAAAAUUUAUCCAAUUUCCCGAUUGUGGACUUUUUAGAACUCCUCGGAAUCAAAAUCAGGGUUCGAUGGGAAUUCAAGACCCUGAAGUGCUGGCAUUCGUCGUAAAUCCUCGUCCGAGUAAGCUGGAAUGAACCAGUAUCGCUUGUCUGUUCCAAACACCUGUAUAUAUACAAGCACCAAAACUUGAGCAAAACGAAGAUCGAUGACAGUUAAUACAGCAUACAGACCAGCUAUAAAGAAUGCAAACUCCAGUAAAGCUUCCAGAAGCCAUAAGGACUUGUCAAACAAAGAUAAAAAAGUUAACCUGUUCAAAAUUUUUCUUUCGGCCUAGGUCAUAUCGCCAUUUCGGAGUAGUUUUCUUCUCAUAUGCCUGUUCGAAAGACGACCAAAGAAUUUUUUUUUCAGUAAAUCCUAAGUCUAUUUAUAUUGCAUUUUAAUCCUAUAAAGGGAGAAUACACCAUGUAUCCAGCCGAAAGAUGGACCUAAAUUCUCGUUAGGAUAUUCACUUGAUGUGCUUGGCGUUACAGCAUUUGAGUUUUUUCCGAAAACAAAUAGUUUCACAUGUGCACGCACUAUUAUGACACGGUAAUAGAAUUCAAAUGAAUACGAUACCUCAAUAGUUGUGGUGUUAGCGGACACCAAAGAUACGUGCAUGAUCAAAAACCCAAAGACACUCAAUGCAAACGCCAGAUUCAAAACUGUGACACGAGAAACUUGUAAUACUUUAGCACGUCAUCAGGAAAAAAUUGUUGAACAGGUUAGAAGAAAACUGGCCGAGCAACCCGUACCGAAGGACAGAAAAGUUGUAGCAAGGGUGGCAGUAGUUCCGGGAAUUUCUUCAUCGCUAAAGAAUGCUAAGAAAUGAGAGAAUAAGGCCAACGUCACAAGACUUGUCUCGAGGAAUGUGUAGAACUGCAUCGAGGUUUAAAAUCGAAGUCAAACGAACAGCAAGCAAACAGAACCAUUACUUCAACCAAUGUUACAAUCAAGCAACAAGCCAGCAAAGAAACACUCGGCAAGCUCGAUAUAUGCAUUUUGAAAAUAGAAACGAUAAAACUGAUAUAGAUAAAGCAGGCAUACCAAGAACAGAAGGAAAUACUUGUAAUUCAAUGCACCAACACAAUUGACAACCCAUACACAAUGAUGGUCCAUCUUUAGCACACACCGCCCACCUAAAACCGAUCAUCAUGAACAACGAUUUCAUAAGCAGAUAUAAAAAGAAAAGGAACCGAUAAAUCUCGAACGUACAAACAGAACAAUGAUGGCAACGAGGUGGUUUAAACUGGUUGCACUUCCGACAAUAUCGAAUCCUUUGACUUGACAGGGCCGGCUGCAAACCGUCAAACUCCGACUCAUUCAAUGGGUCAACCUCCCCUCUUUCCUCAUCCCAAGCCGGUUUCCAGUUAGGCGGCACAGUACCGGAAUCAGUUAAAACGACAGUUAAGUAACUCCAUAACAGCAUAACCAACUGCAGAAUCACAUCAAAUUUCCAACAUUUAGACCCAAAUCAUACAUUCUUCGAAGGUUUAGGGUUUAAGUUUUUAGGGUUUCAGGUUUGAUCCGAUUACACUAAUCACAAUCCCCAAAACCCAAUUUAUUAAUUUAGAAUCUAAAAUUGGAAACCCUAAAUCUAAAAAAGGGGUCCAAAAGGAAGCUUGUGCUUCAAAUUUAACCCAAGCUUAUAAUUUUAGCAAUUAAAAAUGAAAUUUUUACAGACUCAUAACAUCUGAACACAAAAAGGGAAUAAAAUUUAAGACCAAACACAAAACCCCAUCACAAAAAAGGGUUUAAUUUUAGGGAUUUACCAAGAAAUGAAAUAAGAUCAAUACAACAACAGCAAUGAACGAGUGAAGGCCACCAUCGAACAAAGCAGGUCCGUAAUAGGUGAAAACUACGGCGUAAUAAGCGACACCGACAACCCCUAAAACCAAGAGGAUCAUGAUCGAGCCAAGGCCUCUGAGGACCGUACAAAACUUGAACACGUUCCAAGCCAUAGUUGUUCCAGAUCUAUGCAUAAUACCCAGACAAUAAAAUUACAAAACAAGAGACAAAAAAUUGAUCUUUUUUCGGGUUUCUUUUUAUGGUCCUGACAACUGCUUGAAAAACAAGUGAAAAAUAAAGGUUGUCUUUGAAUUACUUAGAGAACAAGGAUGAUACUGGAAUUAGAACAAAAAAACAGGAUUUUAUUAAAAUUUUGCUCUGAGAUUUUUGGUAUUAAAAUAGGAAAUCUAGUUUAAUCUAGGGUUUAUGGGAUUUGUGAUUCAGAUAAGUAUGGAAUCCAUGUUACUAUACAGAAACGAGAGAGAGAGUGUGAGUCAGUGACUACUAAAGGCCAUAUUUAGUUCCUUUGCAUUUUCUGGUAAAAAUGUUCUUCCAGUCCUUCUUAUUUUUACGAUUGAGUAACUUGGUCCCAAUGAGAAAAAUUGGAGCAAUUUAAUCCUAUCAAUUUCAAAAGUGAGAAAUUAAGUACAAUUAAUCAAUGUGUUAAUGUUUUCUGCCAACUAUACAUAAAUUUUAUUGGUAUAAUAACAAAUUUAGCUUUCAUAGUUUACACAUUCUGUCAAUUUAGUAAAGAUUUUACAAAUUUAGCUUGCAACAUUUGUGUAAAUGUGUAAAUGUUUAGGAUAAAUUUUUUAAUUAUUUUAGAACCAAGACUAAAUUAACAAAACAUGUAAACUUAAAAGGGUUAAUUUUUUGUUAUAUCAAUCAAAAUUAUGUAUAAUUGAUUGAUUGUCCUUAAUUGUUCUGAGUUUUUAAAUGGACCAAUUUGCUCAAUUUCAAAUUUUAGAGUGAUUGGAGAAGUCUUUUUACCCAUUUUCUAAAUGGGUAAACUACAUCCAAUGUCUAUAAAAUAUUAGUAUGUUUUGGUCACUCAACUUUAAAAAUCUUAUAAAAUUAUCACUGAACUAUUCAAAAGUUUUCAUUUAAGUCACUGAUCUAUUUGGAAGUUUUUAUUUAAGUCAUUACACGGUUAAAAAAUUUUUUUAAUUCAACUAGUGAGCUCCAAGCGAUAGUUCGAUGAUCAAUACAUUAAAUCAAUAUCCAUCAACAAGUAGGAAAUCAUACCUUAGAUCUAAGUCGAUAUAAUAAUUAGUGUCGAAGAUCGAACAAGAAAAUUGUUUGAAUUUUGGUUGGCGGAUCUGUGACGUUCUUUCAUAAAAGAAACUAAAUAUUGUAAAAGAGAAUGAGAAGUAGAGCUUUUGAUUGGUUCAAGUAUUGUGACCAAAGAAGACCAUAAAACAAUGAUUUUAACAACCCAAUAACUUAAAUGAAUGUUUUUUAAUAGUUCAAUAAUCAUUUUUGUAACUUCUUAAAAUUAAGUGACCAAAUAAUAAAUUUACUAAUAAUUUAAAGACUUUCAGUAUAACUUAUACUAUUUUGAACUAUACCAAAGGAAUGGUCGAGCCAAAAGCCAAACAAAGCAUAGUAGUCCAAGCCUAAUGGUAAUCUUGACAUUCGAUUUAACAUUGUUACAACAACAACAAUACCACGAGAUAAUACAUAUUACGAGUUUUCGAUCACUUAAAUAAAAAAACAUCAACAAAACAGGAUUUAGAAACCAAACAACAUAAUAACCACUAAAAUCUCCAAACAAUUUAAUACAAAUACAGGACAGGCAACAAGGUCUUAUUGUUGGUUUCUUCUCACUCAAGUUAAUGUACAGCAUCAGGUUGUCUUUCAGGCGAGGCAUCUAAGAAUUCCGGUAACGCCUUCAAUGACUCGAAUAUCCGACACAAUCUAGGGUACUUGGACUGCAAAAAGAAAACCCAGCACAUACGGUCGGUUUCUUGAGUGCUAAUUAAUCUGACAUACAAGUUUCGAGAAUUAAUGGAGCAUAAAAGUGAUGUUUUAAGCGUUCAAAGACUCAUUUACCAUGUCGAUUUUAAACCUUUGCAUCGCCACAGCUAUCUGAGGUGCCAUAAAUACAUCAGCCUGAGACAGACAAAUCAAAGAACAUGUAAGAAUUCAUCAAGGGUUUAACAUCAAAUCGGAAAGACUCGAACAAUGACGAAUGUACCAUGUAUACUUCGUCUCCGCUUGCAUAUUUGCCGUUAAUGUCUUUCAGCAACUUCUCGAGAGCUGCAAUGCAAGUAAAGCAAGCAAAAAGUUGCGUUAAGUAUUUCGCGAAACUUCGAUUAUCGGUUAGAGGCUCUUUUUACGUAUACACGACGACACGAACAAGAAUGAAAGUUAAUUAUGAAAUGAAAUCACUUACCAUUGAAACCUUUUUCCACAUUAGUUUGAGCAAACAAAAGUGAUUCUUGUGGACCAACUUUUUGCACAAGAUAUUUCUAAGAAACAUGAAAAGAGGGUAUCAAAUUGAAUUAAAACAGGAACAAAUGAAUGAGCAUAAAUAUAUAAAUACAUGUGUGUGUAAAUAUAUAUAACAGAAUAUACCAAGUUUGACAGCAUAUGAAGAGGCUGUAUGCUAGAGGUGACUAUGCUGGCAACCUGUGGAUGAUAAACUAGUUAGUGAACUGUCAAUUGAGCAGGUGGGGUCAAUUUGAGUUUUAAAAAUUUCUGAUUAUUUUGGGAUUUGGUCAGUUUUAGUUUCGGGCCAUUUGGGUUUAUGCCAUUCAGGUUUGAGGGUCAGGCUUUUCAAUGCAAGUCUAUUUCGUGAUUUGUCACUGUUUUUUUUUUUUUUUUGUAUAAUGACAGGUUUUCUUAUCCGUUUUACGGUCUGAGCAUAAUCCUCUUCGAGUCGAGGGUAGUAGUCAAAUUUGAUAACUUUAAUUUCAAGUCAUUUUGAGUUACUUGUUCCUAGGUAACUUCAGAUUUAGAAUUUUGAUGAGUUUUGGUUGUUGACAUUUCAUAAUCAAAUCGGGAUAGAUUACUUUAAAUUCGGGUUUUACAGGAUCGGAUCAUAAUCUAUGAUGUAAAGCCAUAUUCCAAGAUACUUACCUGAAGAUUCAGAGCUUUAAGCUGGGGAUCAGCUGGUAAGAGAGCUAUUUGAGGGUAUUUUUCUUCCAAAUACUAACAAAAAUAAGUACCAAAUUAAACAAUUCAGCUGAAAUGAACGCAAAAACACCACAUCAAAUGACAAUAUCAACAAAUUCCAUACACUAAAUUAUUAGUAAGUUUAUGUUUUGAUCGCUCGACUUCAAAACGUUAAAAAUGACCACUAAUUAUUUGAAAAUUUUAAGUCACUAGACUAUUAAAACUGUUGUUGUAUAGCAUUCUUUGUUUGCACCGUUUGCACCAAUCGAAAUUCUUUCCCCUUUUCUUUUACAGUUCAGUUUGUUAUCAUGAAACAACUUCGAGCAUCACGAAUUUGCGAACUAAAAUCCAAACAGCUUUCUUCUUCAAUCUCCAACACUAACUGUAAGAUCAACUUAGAUCUAAGGCAUUUCUUCUAUUCAUCGAUAGGUACUAAUCCACAGUACCGAUCGUCAAAUUGUCACUUAGAACUCGCUAGUCGAAUUUUUUUUUAAAAAAUAAAAAAAAAAACUUUCGAAUAAUUCGAUGACUUAUAUAAAAACUUUCAAAUAAUUCGGUGAUUAAAAUGAAAACUUUCAAAUAGUCCAGUAAUUAUUUUGUAAUAUUUUGAAGUUGAGUGAUUAAAAUGUAAACUUACUAAUAGUAUUGUGACAUUGGGUGUGAUUUAUUUAUUUAUUUAUUUUUAAAUACAAGAGGAGGACAGCCCUCGAAAUGGAAAAUCGCUUUUUAGUCCUUUUAUAAAUGAAAAAAUUAGAAGUUUAUAUAGGAUAAAUUGUACUUUACCUCCUUAAAAAUAAAAAUAAAAAAAAUUAUUUAAUCCUUUCCUAAAUGAUAAAAUCAUAAGUUAUAAUUAAAUUCCAACCCCUAAAAGAAUUCCUAAUCGUUGCUGUAUUGGAAUUAAGAACACUAACCAACAAGAUUGCAUAUGAAUCAGACACGACAACAUCACCAUCAUCAAGAACAGGAACAAAAUGCAGAGGGUUCAAUUUCUCAAACUCUGCAACAACAGCAGCAACAACAAAAGAAAAAAAAUUGUCUUUUUAGUAUGUUUCCAUUCUACCAUAUGUAUGUAUGUAUGUAGUAUGUAUGUCUGUAUAGCUCACCUGGUGUAAACUGCUCUCCUUUUGAAAGAUUUACAGCUUUGUACUCAUACGAAAUCCCUAACAAAAACCCAAUUAAAAAAUCAGUACCAAAAUUAUUGGAAACCUACUGAAUUAAUGAAUUCGAAGAGAAACCCAAAUUAGAUAUAAGAGGGAAUAAGCUGAUGAUUAAAGUUAAAACCUUUGAGGUUUAAACUUUAAAGCGAAGCGAACUCGCCAUGAACAUGAGCUUUGCCAGUAUGAAUACAGAGCAAGCUUUGGAGACUCACCAAUUAUCUGUUAACAACAAAAUAAAAUAAAAAUAAUGAGUGGAAUUUGGGAUUAAAUUGAACAAAAAUAGAAACAGCAUGGUGUUAAAAUCAUACCGCUGCCAUUGUUGGAAAGGUUGAAAGCUCAAAGCUUCAGACAGAGUGGCAGGUAGUUGUUGGUAUUUGGUAGUUUUUUGCAAUAACGUGACUGACUUUUAUAAUAGAGAGAAUCUCGUGUGACAUUAGAAUAUAUUGUUUUUAUUUAAAAUAUAGAUGAAUUAAUUAAAAAGUAAAUUAAUUUUUUUAUAAAAAUUUUAUCAGAUAAGUUUUUUUAUAUCAAAAUAAGGUAUACAUUUAGUUAUUAUGUUAGUCAUGCGAAAUUUUAACAGUAAAAAUAAAUGAAAUUUUUAAUAGAAAAAAUUAAUUUGUUCUUUGAUUUAACGUAUUAGGACUAAUUUAUCUAUUUUUUUAAUAAAGAUAGUAAAAUAUAAUCUGACUUCUUAUAUAAGACCUCCAUAGCAUUUUUACCUCAUAUUGUUGAUCUUGCAAACAUAUAUAGACGAACUUUGUUAACAAAUGAAUUUUGAUUUUUCGACACGUGAGAUUAGAAUUAAAUUAUGAAUGAUACAUAUACGGAUGGGAUAAGAAUUAUUUUUCAAUUUCACUUUAAUUUUAAAAAAAAAGAUUUCAUUUACAAAAUCAUAAAAAAUUUAAAAAUAUUAACUAUUUUAAAUAGUAAAUAAUAUUUUUUAAAACAAAAAAAAUGUUAAAUCUAUUUCAAUUUUACAUUAUUCGAUUUUUUUUAAAAGUACAUUCACUCUGAUUCAUUGCGGGGCUCGAAUUUCAUUGUGAUGUUAUGGGUAUUUUGAGUGUUGUUUGUGGCUCGAUGAUGGGUUUGGAUCGUGGUGUUAGAAAUCAAACCAAACUUUUCAAAGUCAAAAAUUACAACCAAAGAGUCUGUAUCCAAAUUGGUUUCUACCUCAUACAACUUGGUUUUCAAAUUGGAUACAACUUUACAAAUCCGAUAAAGCUUAUCAUGUUGGAAACUUCAUGAAAAAUCAAGAUGGUAGCAACAUUGAAAAGUUCAACAAGGCAAGGCAUAUAAUCGAUAAGCAUUAUCAUUUAUGAUAUACUUAAGGGAUAAGAAAUCAUUAAGGUAACUAGACUAUGUCUAUAUAUAUGUAUGUAUAGUUCAUGUGUUGUGAGUGCUAAAAAAAUUAGCUAGAGUUUGAGAGCAAAAGAAGGUGUUGUGAGUAUAGAAAGGAAAAUCUAGCAGCAGCUAGUAUAGAGAGAAAAAAUAAAAGAGAAUUUGUAUUUUAUUUUAUUUGUGUGUAAUAAAAAUUAGUAUUUGAGUUAUUUUUAUUAUUACGCUUCCAACAAGUGGUAUCCGACCUAGGUUCGUGUUGACAUCACAAUGGUGAACAUGAUUCAAUCGCAGAUCCUGAAAUUAACAAAGACAAAUUAUGGAAACUGAAGCAUCUAGAUGAAGGCUUUGCUCGGUUCUCAAAAUUGUUGGGAUGUUGUUGAAGAAGGAUAUGUCGAGCCCGAAAAUGAAGCUGCCAAAGCGGCUUUGACAAAUGAAGAAAAAAGAGUAUUGAAAGAAGCUCGUAAAAAGGAUAAGAGGGUGUUGUUUUUUAUUUUUCAAGGCAUUGAUGAAUCAACCUUUGAAAAAAUUUCAGAUGUGAAUACAUCAAAUGAAGCAUAGGGAAGUUUGCAAAAAUCCCUUCAAGGAGCGGAAAAGGCUAAAAAGGUACAUUUACAAACCCUUAGAGCUGAAUUUGAGACGUUGAAAAUGAAACCAUCGGAAAGUGUUGAUGAUUAUGUUAUUCGGGUGAAAACGGUGGUAAAUGCAAUGAAAAGAAAUGGAGAAACACUUGAUGAUGUUAGAGUAAUGGAAAAAAUUUUGCGGUCAUUGACACGCAAAUUUGAUUAUAUGGUGGUUACCAUUGAAGAGUCAAAAGAUUUAUCAUAAAUAUCAAUCAACAAACUUGUGGGUUCCCUCCAAGCCCAUGAGCAUAAAAUGAAGCUAAAUGAUGAUACUGGAAAUUCGGACCAAGUCUUGCAAAGUAAGUUGUCCUUCAACGAAAGUGGAGCUAGGGAUAAUUUUGGACAAGGAACGAGCAAUCGUGGAGGAUACCGUGGAGGAUAUAGAGGUAGAAAUAGAGGUGGACGAGGAACACAUGGACGAGGCAAUCAAUCAUAUGGUAAAGUCCAAACAAGUGACGAAUAUCAAACAUCGAGUCGUGGACAAGGAGCUCGAGGCCGAGGUCGAGGCAGAGGUAGAUUUCAACAAGGAAAUAAAUCUCAGGUACAAUGUUAUAAUUGCAAUAAAUAUGGCCAUUAUAGUUACGAGUGUAGAUCAAAUCCCAAUAUGAAGGAGAGAAAUCAUGUAGCAGCAGCCAAAGAAGAAGAAAACGUGGAAUCUAAUGUAUUCCUCACCUAUAAAGAAAGUGAAAAAUCAAGAAAAAAUAUUUGGUAUCUUGAUAAUUGCACCAGCAAUCACAUGUGUGGCAGAAAAGACUUAUUUUCAGAGUUGGAUGAGAAUAUUCAUGGACAAGUAACGUUUGGAGAUGAAUCGCAUGCCACGGUCAAAGGCAAAGGCAAAGUCAAAGUCACUAUUAUACAAAAGAAUGGAGAAAAAAAGUUCAUUUUAGAUGUUUAUUACGUACCAGCUUUGAAAAGCAAUAUCAUCAGCCUUGGAUAGCUUCUAGAAAAAGGAUAUGAAGUACAUAUGAAAGAUUCCAUGCUCGCCCUAAAAAAUAAGAAUGGUGAAUUAAUUGCCCAAGUUGAUAUGACGCGUAACCGUCUAUUUACUAUUGACAUUGAAUUUGGAGAGGUGAAAUGCAUGAAGAAUAUAAUUAAAGAUGAAUCACGGUUGUGGCAUUUAAGGUUCGGGCAUCUUGGUUUUUCUGGUCUGAAGCUAUUUUCAAAAGAAAAUAUAGUGAAUGGGUUGCCAUAAAUUAAUCCUCCUGAUCAACUAUGUGAAGCUUGCAUUAAAGGAAAACAACACAGACAGAGUUUUGAAGCGAGAAAAACUCGACGAGCUAAGAAACCAUUGGAGAUCGUACACUCCGAUAUAGCAGGUCCUUUUGAUAUACCAUUACUUGGUGGAAACAGGAAAUAUGUUACUUUUAUUAAUGAUUUUAGUAGAAAAAGUUUAUAUAUCUUCUUAAAACAAAAUCAGAAGCAUUUGACAAGUUUAUCGAGUUCAAAGCCAUGGUAAAAAAACAAAGUGGACAUUUCAUUAAAAUACUCAGAACUGAUAGAGGUGGUGAGUAUACUUCAAAGCUAUUUGAAAGCUUCUACAAUGAACACGGAAUUAUUCACCAAUUGACAACUGCGUACACGCCACAACAAAACGGAGUCACUGAAAGAAAGAACCGCACUAUUCUUGAUAUGGCAAGAAGCAUGGUUAAAGGUAAGCAUUUACCAAGAACUUUCUAGGCCGAAGCUGUUCAAUGUGCUGUUUAUUUGUUGAACCGGUGUCCAACAAAAAGUGUGAAAUACAAGAUGCCAAAUGAAGCUUGGAGUAAUCAAAAGCCAGGAGUCGGACAUCGCAAGAUUUUUAGAUGCAUCGCAUAUGCUCAUGUUCCUGACCAGAUGAGAAAGAAGCUUGACGAUAAAGGAGUAAAAUGUAUUUUCAUUGGUUAUGAAAAGAGAAGCAAGGAAUAUAGGUUAUACAACCCUCUCAACAAGAAAGUUGUUAUUUCAAGAGAUGUCGAAUUCGAUGAAGCUGAUUAUUGGAGAUAAAGUGAAGAAGAAAAGAAAAUUGAAGGAUUAUUUUUCAGUGAUGACAAAGACAACGACUUCAUUAAUCAAGAACAAGGCAACGAUCAAAGCCCUCCUCCAAGUCCUAUUGCAACAACUCCUACAACAUCAUCAUCACCAACCAGCAGCAAUACCAGCAACUCAGAAGAAGCACCUGCAAGAAUGCGUAGUUUAUGUGAUAUUUAUGAAGUUACAAAACCCAUAGAAACAAUACUCGAUUAUUCACUAUUCUGUUUAAUGACAGAAUAUGAUCCAAUAAUAUAUAUGUAGAUGCAAUUAAAGAUGUCAGAUGGAAGAAGGCAAUGGAUGAAGAAAUUGCAGCAAUAAGAAGAAAUGACACAUGGGAGUUAACAAGUCUACCAGAAGGACAUAGUCUAAUUGGAGUCAAAUGGGUGUACAAGAAGAAGACCAACAAAGAAGGAAAAAUGGAGAAAUACAAAGCAAGACUAGUUGCAAAAGGCUACAAGCAAAGAUAUAGUGUAGACUAUGAUGAAGUAUUUGCUCCAGUAGCCAAAAUUGAUACUAUAAGCUUCUCAUGGCAAUUACAGCACAAAAUAAAUGGAAAAUUUAUCAAAUAGACGUGAAGUCAGCAUUCCUUAAUGGCUACUUGGAAGAAGAAGUCUAUAUUGAACAACCACCUGGAUAUUACAAACAAGGACAAAAAGACAAAGUUUAUCGCUUGAAGAAAGCUUUAUACGGAUUGAAGCAGGUUCUGAGAGCAUGGAACACAAGAAUAGAUGAAUACUUUCAGAAGAACAGGUUCAUAAAAAGCCCAUACGAACAUGCUCUAUAUACGAAGAAAAAUAAAGUUGGUGACAUCAUGAUUGUGUGCUUAUAUGUGGAUGAUAUGAUUUUUACAGGAAACAAUCCAAGUAUGUUCAAUGACUUUAAGAAAGCUAUGACUAAAGAAUUUGAAAUGACUGAUAUAGGUGAAAUGUCAUACUUUCUUGGAGUCGAGGUGAAACAAAUGAAAGAUGGACCAUUCGUGUCUCAAAAGAAGUAUGCAGAACAAAUUUUAAGAAAAUUCAAUAUGAAAGAUUGCAAGCCAGUAGCUACGCCAGCAGAACCAGGCACGAAAUUAAGUGUUGAUUCAUCCAGAGAGCCAGUAAAUCCAACGUUGUUUAAAAGUAUCAUUGGAAGUUUAAGGUACUUGACUAUUACGCGGCCAGACAUCAUGUAUGCAGUGGGAAUAGUUAGCAGAUACAUGGAGAAGCCAAAACAAGAUCACCUGAUUGCAGCAAAGAGAAUUUUGAGAUACAUCAAAGGUACGAUGGAUCAGGGUUUAUUUUAUACAUACUCAUAUAGUUCAAAAUUGGUUGGUUAUUCAGAUAGUGAUUAUGGUGGAGACUUGGAUGAUCGUAAAAGCACAUAUGGAUAUUUAUUCCAUUUGGCUACGCAGCAUUUUCAUGGUCAUCGAAAAAGCAACAAACAGUAGCUCUUUCAACAUGUGAAGCAGAAUACAUGGCUGUUGCAAUAUGCACGUGUCAAGCAAUUUGGUUGAAGAAUAUUUUGGGUGAAUUAUCUAUUAUACAAGAAGGUCCAAUUACAAUUUAUGUUGACAACAAGUCCACAAUAUCUCUUUCAAAGAAUCCAGUGUCUCAUAGUCGAAGUAAGCACAUCGAUACAAAGUAUCAUUUUAUUCGAGAGCAAGUGAAAAAUAAAAAUGUGGAGUUAGUCUACUGCAGAACAGAAGAUCAACUAGCGGACAUUUUUAUGAAGCCAUUGAAAGCAGACAUAUUCCAUAAACUCAAAGAAAAGCUUAGAAUGAAAAGUUCGGUUUGAGGGGGAGUGUUAGAAAUCAAACCAAACUUUUCAAAGUCAAAAAUUACAACCAAAGAGUUUGUAUCCAAAUUGGCUUCUACCUCAUACAACUUGGUUUUCAAAUUGGAUACAACUUUGCAAAUUGGAUAAAGCUUAUCAUGUUGGAAACUUCAUGAAAAAUCAAGAUGGUAGCAACAUUGAAAAGUUCAACAAGGUAAGGCAUAUAAUGGAUAAGCAUUAUCAUUUAUGAUAUACUUAAAGGAUAAGUAAUCAUUAAGGUAACUAGACUAUGGGUUCCUUUGGUUUACCAGUGAAGGUCAGUGUGGUGCAGUAGAGGAUAGUAAACUCACUGGUAUGCUGUUUGGUUCAACAACACAAUCCAGUGAAAACUUUAAUCAGCCACACUGAUAUGCUAAAAAUAGCCUGGAGGAUUCAGCUGCAUUUAACGCCAGUACGAUUGUAUCUAUUUUUAUGAGACAAACCUACUCAUGCUUUUAUUUAUUAUUUUACCAUUUUAGCCUUGAAACUUAAAUUAAUUUCCCAACCACAGUUGUUUUCAGAUUUGGGAACGAAACAGCCAUUUUCUUUUUCAUAUUUGAGAAGUAAAACACUGAUUUCUCCCCUCUUUUUUGCUUUGUUCUUGGUUGUGGCUGCUUUUUGAAGGUAUUUUCAUUAAUUUCUUGUUAUCUCUAGUUCUGACUUCUUCUACUCUUCUUUGUCACAGUUGUUAUUAUUAUUACUAUUAUUUUGGGGAACAAAACAACCAUUUUCUUUUACUUUGUUCUUGGUUUAGCAAUGUUUUAACACUGAUUUCUCCCCUCUUUUUUGCUUUGUUCUUAGUUGUAGCUGAGGUAUUUUCAUUAAUUUCUUGUUAUCUCUAGUUCUGGCUUCUUCUACUUUUCUUUGUCACAGUUGUUAGUCCUUUUGACUAUUGAUGUUAAAGUAGUAGAUUAAUGAUCUAAUGUUUUAGAAGUACAUUUGGUUAAUUCUUUGUCUGUUUGCUGAGAAAUGUGAGGUUAAAAAAAGAACUUUUACCAUUUCUGUUUUGUUAUUAUUGCACUCAAAUUUAAAACCCUGAACAACAAAAAAUGAGCUUAGUUGAAUUUGGAUAAUUGAAAGAAAAUAUGGAAAUUGAAAAGAAAAGAGACUUUGGCCUUGAUGGGGUUGAGUUUUUGGAAGUACAUACGAAUAAUUCUUUGUUUGUUUGCUAAUAAAUAUGAGGAAAAGAAAAAUGAACUUUUCCUAUUUCUGUUUUGUUCAUAUGAGCCUAUUUUGAUUUUCUUUGGCACUUAAAUUUGAAGUCUUGAACACCAAAACUGAACUUAGUUGAAUUUGGUUAAUUGAAAAAAUAUAUGGGAACUAAAAAAAAAACAAGUCCUUGUUGUGUUGAUGGGAUUGAGUUUUUAGAAGUGCAGUAGGAUAAAUUCUUUGUUUGUUUGCUAUGAAAAGUGAGAAGAAAAUGAACGUUACCAUUAUAUAAGUUCUUUGUUUUUUUGUUAAGAAAUGUGAGAAAAAAAAUGAGCUUAGUUCGACAUUCAACAUUUCGUUCUUAUGAUUUGUGUCUUCCAGAUUGGAGGCUCUGAAGUGCCUACUUCAUCUGUUAGUGUAGAAGCAGACAAUGUAUGUAUUUGAAAUAGUGAAACUUGUUUAAAAUCGUGUUGCAGCUCAAAUAAGUUCUAUUUCCGAAGUUAACCUCACUGUAAAAGAUAUUAGAUAAAAUAUGAUAUAUCCCCAUCAAUGAUAAUAUAAGUGCUCUCCUUAAUACUCCUUUGAAAAUAUAGGGUAUGUCGUUAAAACCAUUGAUAGAAGGAAAUUCAUUGGCUAUAUUCUAAUAUGACUCUAUAGAUGCUACUAGAAGGUUAGGUGACAAAUUUUAAGGUUCUUUUUCUCCUUGUUGCAGUUUUGUAGCCUCUGUAAAAAGUUUUGUAGAUUCACAAAGGAAACUUCUGAAUUCUUUACCCUCUUCCUUAGAAAUAUAUGAUGAGUAGAGGCAGCAUUAACAUAAGCAGAAACUGAUAGGUAAUUGAGUCCUACAGUUAAUACAGAUAGAUGGGUUGGUAGAACCAAUGAAGGCAUAGAAAUGGUUAUAUUUUCUAUACAAGAAGAUUAUAUUGAAAUUGAUUGCCUGCAAAUAAAUCAGAUCAGUCAUCUGUGUCACUUUCAGAAGUUAGAGGCCUUGUUCCAUUAGUUACUAAGAUAUUUUCUUAAAGUGACUCAUAAACUGGAGUAAUGAUGGGACUGACAUUUGUGUAGCCAUCAAGCCAGAAUUGAAGCACUGAAUCUAUGGCACAAAAAGGUUCCUCUAGUUAAUGAGGAAAAAUGUAAAAUCUUACCUACAAGUUUGAUGUCUAUGUUAUCAACCAACCAUUGUGCCCCAUUUUCUUAAAUCCUGUAAAGUCUGAAGCAAACUUUGUUUUAUGCAUCAGCCUCCUGAAAAUGAAAACAUAUCAACAAUUUUAAGCCAUUUCUGUAGAACAAAACAAAAGUCAAUCCUAUCAAGUAGCAUCACCAUUAUUAAAAACAUCUGAUAUUGUCAUGCUUCAAAAAUACUCUUGAUAGGAGCCCACUCAACUAUAUUCGCUUUAUGCAUAUGUAAAUGCAAACAAAUGAAUAGGUGGUAAGUUCAUAUUGAGUUACCUGUCAGUAUUAAGUGUUUUAAAAAGCACACGAUGUACUCCUCUGGUAAUUUCUUAGAACUAUUGAGUUCCGACCUCUAAGGGCAUUACAGGUUCUAUCACUAUAUGAUAUCUGAAGAUGAAAUGAAAAGUUAUGAUUUUAAUUGCUGAAGAGUUUGUUUUGGGGCAUGGAUAGGAAAAGUAACAGAACGUGUAGUUGUUUUUUAAUUUCCUAUACUAGACUAGAAGUGAAUGUUAUCUGUUGAAAUUAAUAUAAUUUAUAUUUUAAUACAAGAAAAAAAAAACAGUAGUUUGACAAUAGAAAAGGGAUUGUGAAUGUAAGAUUGAAAUCUUAUGCUAAAUGUCUAUGACUUGGGCAAAAUAUUUUGAUUUUGUUAAUGCGUGUAUUCAUAUUAUAUUUUUGUUAUGUUUAGUUUCAUAUAUGAUAAUCAUAUUUAAUACAUUAUUUAUUUAAAUAAUUUUUUAAACAUAAAACUUUUUAUUAAAGGACAAAAAUAAUAACCAAAACAAAAAUUAAAGACAACGACGAACAAUUAAGACCCCAAUUAAUAGAUUUACCCAUUACACCCAUUCUUAUAUCCUUUAGAAUCAUUGAUAUGAGUAGUAGAAAUAUUAUCAUUCAAAACAAAAAUAAGACCAGAAGGAAUGAUAAUCCUUUAUUGACAUCUGAACGGUUCAAAAGGACAUAUAAAUGAAAUUAAACUUUAACAGUAAACAAUCUUGAAUUAAUAAGCCAAACUCUAAAUGUUUGCAUUAGGCUUCAUAAAAGCAUUAAUAACCUCCAAACAUCGAAAUGAAAAAUAACUCUAUCAAAAUGCAAUGGUUUUAGCUAAGACAAGCAUUUAGAAUU
This 36868-nucleotide long non-coding RNA is filed under the name Gossypium barbadense (sea-island cotton). RNAcentral describes it as "long non-coding RNA (GBAR_LNC011611)". Lineage: Eukaryota; Viridiplantae; Streptophyta; Magnoliopsida; Malvales; Malvaceae. The record is from RNAcentral.